RNAcentral lists this long non-coding RNA (4564 nucleotides) under Olea europaea subsp. europaea. The record is from RNAcentral. Lineage: Eukaryota; Viridiplantae; Streptophyta; Magnoliopsida; Lamiales; Oleaceae.
AUCAGGGCUUUGUAAGAUUUCUUAGGAGGAAUGUCCACUAAGGGUAACACAUACAGCCUUAGAUCGGCCUGUGUAAGGAGCAGCGCUUUGUAAUAUUCUGACAGAAUACUGAAUAAAAUGUUCAAAAAUAGGAAGUCCUUUUUUUAUUGAUAUGAUUGGCAUUACAAGCGAGUUUUAUGGACUUUUCCGUUCACGAUAGAACUGCUUUAGGUGUUUGGCAUUCCAAGGAUGGGGUAAGGGUCUAUCCCCCAAGUUUUCCAAUUCAUAGGCCUCCUUUAGCAAGACCUCUAUCACCAGAUAGGGUCCUUCUUAGUUUGGACUAGGCAUCCACUGCCUACCUCUCUUUGUGAGGAUCCGACCUCGAAUACAUAUGUUCGGAUUCCAUAUCGCCAUCUGCACUAUUAGGGGGUUGCGUUGAUGAUUGGUACAGGCUUUCCACUGACAUCUUUCGGCGAGCUCCAUGUUCCCUUUGACUUCACCCACACCAUGGUGUGGGAAAUUUGAUAGAAUAAUGAUAUAGGGAAACUGCUGCUCUCAGGCUGAAGAGUAUGGGUUGUCCCAUCACAGCAUCAUAAGGGGAGAGAAUGUCGAAUACCAUGAAUUCGGAGUUUAUCUUCACCUGCCGGGGUACUGAUCCUGACUCAACUUUAAGUUUGAUUGAUCCUUUGACAGAGGUCAAGGCUCCGCUUAAUCCUAGGACCAUAUUCAGGUGUGGUCGAAGGAAGUUAGCAGGGAUACCCAUCCAUUUAAGGGUAUUGCUAAAUAGGAUGUUCAGAGCGCUUCCUAUAUUCGCCAAGAUUUUGGGGAUAGUUACCCCAGCCACAGGCAACGAGAUAACUAGAACUAUAGGAUAAAGAUGUGGGUCCGCCUCCUCCUCCUCAAAGGAUAGUUGCUCAUCUGUGGCUUUUUUGAGGUUCUUCUCAGUUAUGUCGAUCUCUGAGAGAUCCGCAACGGCUGGUCUUUUUCAAUCUGGCCUCCCCGGCUUGCAUGUUCGUCCUGCCCCUUAGCAUGUUAACUCGUGGCAUUGGCAGGUCGACAUUGCAGGCCCUCGCAGCAGCUUGAUCCCCUCAAAUAAUUCCUGACCCGUGAAGAGUGGAGAAUUUCAUGCAAUAAUGGUAAAUUGAGGUGGUAGCUUUCAGCUCGUGCAAAAUGGGUCGUCCCAAUAUUGCAUUAUAAUUGGAUGGCAAAUCGACCACCACAAAAUCUGCUAGAAUCCUUCUUUGGUUAGGAGCUUCGCCUAGCUCCACGAUAAGGACGAUUUGACCUCAGGCUUCAAUAGGAUCCCCAAAGAAUCCUUGUAGUUUCUUUAGAUACGGUUGGAGAUAGUGUUCUGAUAUUUCCAACUGCCUCAAAGUUCGUGAGUACAGUAUGUUGACCGAACUUCCAUUGUCUACCAAAGUUCGAUGGACUUUUACUCCAGCAUCAUUCAUUGUAACCACUAGGGCAUCACUCUAAUCCUGAAGGAUUCCUUCAGAAUCUUCUUUCGUAAACCAGAACCAUUCAGAGUCUAUACCGAUGCUGGGGGUUGGAUCUCGGUAGUUCGGCAUGGUUUUUGCACUUCGGGCUUGUCUUUGUCUCACCCUUCUGGAUCCCUCAACAUACUGAUUUCCUCCCACCAUCAUCUUGAUUUUAGCAUGUGAGGGUGGAUUACGGUUGGGGACUACCUGCUGAACUCGCGUGGGAGGCCCCUGCAGCAGCGGCUGUUGCGUCGUAGGUCGAUCUGCUUCUUUUGGCUUGGCAACAAACUCCUGUAAACGACCUCUUCAAAUUAGGGACUCAACUUCCUCUUUUAAGUCCCGACAGUUAUCGGUGUCAUGGCCCACCAUCCUGUGAUAUCGGCAGUAUCGUCCCUGAUAUUGUCCUGCCUGUCCGUCCUUUAUGAUCAUGGGUCUGCGAAAUGCCUCUUUCGCAUUGGCUUGCAUGAAUACCUCUUCCAAGGAGGCUUUGAGUGGGUGGUACUCUCGAAAUUUGUAUGGCUGAGCCCUAGGAUGUUCUCUUUCUCUCCUGUCCUUCUUUCUUUCGGGCAGGGGGCUGCUACUUGGUUUUUUCUCCUUUACAGUGUUGUUGAGGUCGGGUUCGGAGGUCUCCUCCUCUUGGUCAAAGGUCGCUUCUUCAGCACUUAUAUAUUUCUCAGCUCGGUUAAGGAGCUCAUGAUAAGUCUUUGGACCGUCCUCGUGUACUGACCACCAGAAUCUUGUUUUAGGCCUCAAUCCUGCUAGUACGGCCAUGAGUGCCGCAUUGUCAGAUAUUUUUUCCACUUCCAUGGAUUGCUUGUUGAACCUACUCAAAUAGCUUUUGAGGGAUUCAUUUCUUCCCUGCUUGAUGCUCAUUAGUCGUUCCUUUGGCGUGGUUCUGGCCUUGGAGCCCAUGAACUAAGCCAAGAACGGCAUAGCCAGAUCAUUCCAAUUCUUUACCGACCUCUCGUGCAGUCUCCUAAACCAUCUUUGAGUUUUGUCUCCUAAAGUUAGGGGGAAUGACCAGCACAUGAUUGCGUUGCUUGUCCCCUGUAGUUCCAUCCACGAGGUGUAUUUGUCAAGGUGGCUAAGGGGAUCACCAUCCCCUUCAUAUGCGGCGAUCUGGGGGAUUUUCAAUUUUUCAAGUAGUGGUUCCAUAAGGACAUCCUCAGUGAAGGGGGAAUGUCGUUUGAUUUGGUAAUCUUCAGUGUCACCUUUAUUUUUAGCCUCCAAGUCGGUGAUGCAUUUUUUAAGAGCGCUUAGUUCGGGUUCUGCUUGUUCCAACGGACGUUUCAGGUCGGCUUGUCCUUGCGUAUGAGUCAGUGAUUGCUGGGUCCCCAAUCUGUCGAACACACUUGCAGUCCUCGCCUCAGGUUCCUUACUUCUGACCUCGUUAGUUCGGCUUCUGAAGGAUUCUCCCCUUGAAAAGUGGAGAGUCCUCCUGGUGGGGGGACGCCUUGUCUGUGUCCUUACGAGGGAUUCUACCUCGGUAUCUAGUGGGGACGAGUGGGCUUGACUCCUUUCCGACCGUCCUACUGCGUUCGUCAAUUUUUCCAGGGCUUCCCUCAUGCCGGUCAUUUGAGGGUCUUGCCGUCGUGGAGAACUUGGUGGUGUGUUCGUUUCGUGAGGGUGGGUGUGAGAUGGAUUUCUGGAACUUAAACUACGACUCAUGGCUCUCGAAUUUUGAAUGAGACCAUUUUUCACAAUUAGGGCCCUACUUCUAGCGCCAAACUGUUGACGUCAAAAUUAGCAAGGAUAAUCUUAACCCAACUUUAAGAUUAAAGGGUGAUUUAUUGUUGAAAAAAGACCACAAAAUAUGUUUAGAGAGUGUAAUUAUGCCUUGAGUUAUUGUGUGAAAUCACUUGCCUUUUACAAGAGUCCUAUUCAACUAUUUAUACAUAGUUUCAGCCGAAAUUACAUCAAAUCAGUUAAAUCAGCAACAGUUCCGAGCUCGGAACUUGGGUCGCCGAAUUCUCCUUUUAUUGGUCGAUGAGGCCAGUAAUCAUGUGUCAAUGUGUUACCCAGGUAAUGAUGACCUGCAAGGUGCUGGAGUUCAAGGACUCAGAAUUGGUUGUUCCGGGCGGCGAUGAUGUCAACUAUGGCAAGUGUAUCUGAUUGAUAGGGUGAUGUGACAAUGGAUACUCAUGAUAUUUUUCUGAGAUAACGACGGGUUUGUCCGACCUGGGAGUAUGGGCCGAACUUACAUUUAACUAAGAUGGGGUUAGCGAACUGUUUUUAUUAGGUCGGAGUUCGGAUAUCAACACUCUUAAUGCAAUGAAGGUAAGGUAUUGGUAUAUGGUUCAAUUUGCUAGCAAAUUUCAUUUCGUGUUUAUGGUCGAAAGAAUGCACUCUUGAGAUAUGAGAUUGUGGUAGAAAGAAUGCACUCCUGAGAAAGAAUUAACUAGAAGUAGUGUACUCUAUCUACACAGAGAAAGCAUCUCCAAUAAUUGGACUCUAAAGAACACACUCUUGAGACGUGAUAUAUGAUAACGUUUGAUAUGAGUUAUAUAGAUAAUUGAAAGUGCGCAGUUUAGUCCCUGUCAUUCCUACUUGAUUCUAGCAUAUAUUUAUUGACACCACACACAUAAUCUCUUCGUUAAAUUUACUGAAGUUCCAUCUAGGUCAGAAGGCAUUUAACAUAAGUUCCAGAGAUGGCAAUUUUGAGAUUUUUUGUCUGUUCACGCUCUUAUGAUAGCUUGGACGAUAGUGCAAUCUUCUCGUUGUUGAUUACGGUGCUAUGAUAUAAAUGAACUUCUCCUAAACAUUUCAAUGUAAUACCUCUUUCACAAUGGAUUGAAGAAAUACAGACUCCAAAUGCCAUUUUGGCAAAGCACCAAGUAUCUUCAAGGUUGGAGGCUCUUUCCUAUAUGAAAGAUGCAGGCCAAGAAGAAAGUAACGACAAUAAUUUUUGAGAGCUAGCCAACCCAACGGUUUGAAGAUAGCAAGUUAUAAAUUAUCUUAUUUUAUACAAUAAUUUUCUAUUGUGUUAAGAGGAGUGUAAGAUGAUGGGCAAUAUGUAAAUGAAAUUUUUUCUUCGAUUUAUUACAAUGAUAUGUUUUGUCUAUUUGGUAUAGAUUAAUAAAGUUAUAUCAGUUUCAUGUAGGCCCAAA